RNAcentral lists this ribosomal RNA (120 nucleotides) under Penicillium polonicum. Lineage: Eukaryota; Fungi; Ascomycota; Eurotiomycetes; Eurotiales; Aspergillaceae. The record is from RNAcentral.
ACAUACGACCAUAGGGUGUGGAAAACAGGGCUUCCCGUCCGCUCAGCCGUACUUAAGCCACACGCCGGUGAGUUAGUAGUUGGGUGGGUGACCACCAGCGAAUCCUCACUGUUGUACGUU